UACGUAGGGUGCGAGCGUUGUCCGGAAUUAUUGGGCGUAAAGGGCUCGUAGGCGGUUUGUCGCGUCGGGAGUGAAAUCAUCUGGCUUAACUGGGUGCUUGCUUUCGAUACGGGCAGACUAGAGGUAUGCAGGGGAGAACGGAAUUCCUGGUGUAGCGGUGAAAUGCGCAGAGAUCAGGAAGAACACCGGUGGCGAAGGCGGGUCUCUGGGCAGUAACUGACGCUGAGGAGCGAAAGCGUGGGGAGCGAACAGG
This 253-nucleotide ribosomal RNA is filed under the name uncultured bacterium. RNAcentral describes it as "partial 16S ribosomal RNA". It matches the Rfam family "Bacterial small subunit ribosomal RNA", at positions 524 to 776 of the family's 1533-position model. The record is from RNAcentral.